UCGACAACGAGGUCAUCUGCCCUGCCCACCAUGAUUUCCCAUAGAACAAGAAGGUGCCUCAUGUGGAUUUUAUGGCUUAAGCCAAGAGGAGAAAGAAAGGGCUCUGCAUAUGAAAAGAUACCAACAUUAUUGUUUCCAUGAAAUUGGUUGGAAGAAAAGAAGAAGAUCCAGAGAAGAUCUUAGUAAUAAGAUAGUUUUUAGGAAAAUAGAUAUUUAGUUUUAGGUCAUUUCUUCUAAUUUCAGAUAUGGAAUGCUUGUCUUUAGUUUUUGUUUUGACUUUGUGAAACUUGCUAACUAUGGAUGAAACUGUGUAAUAUUGAUGAAACUAUGUAUAUGUAUGGAUGAAACUUGCUACUA
This is a long non-coding RNA of Aegilops tauschii subsp. strangulata, 357 nucleotides long. RefSeq lists it as uncharacterized. The record is from RefSeq and is a predicted model, not a curated record. NCBI's taxonomy places the organism in Eukaryota, Viridiplantae, Streptophyta, Magnoliopsida, Poales, Poaceae.